This 468-nucleotide ribosomal RNA is filed under the name uncultured bacterium. RNAcentral describes it as "partial 16S ribosomal RNA". It matches the Rfam family "Bacterial small subunit ribosomal RNA", at positions 28 to 507 of the family's 1533-position model. The record is from RNAcentral.
GACGAACGCUGGCGGCGUGCUUAACACAUGCAAGUCGAACGGAAAGGCCCUGCUCUUGUGGGGUGCUCGAGUGGCGAACGGGUGAGUAACACGUGAGUAACCUGCCCUUGACUUUGGGAUAACUUCAGGAAACUGGGGCUAAUACCGGAUAGGAGCUCCUGCUGCAUGGUGGGGGUUGGAAAGUUUCGGCGGUUGGGGAUGGACUCGCGGCUUAUCAGCUUGUUGGUGGGGUAGUGGCUUACCAAGGCUUUGACGGGUAGCCGGCCUGAGAGGGUGACCGGCCACAUUGGGACUGAGGUACGGCCCAGACUCCUACGGGAGGCAGCAGUGGGGAAUAUUGCACAAUGGGCGGAAGCCUGAUGCAGCAACGCCGCGUGCGGGAUGACGGCCUUCGGGUUGUAAACCGCUUUCGCCUGUGACGAAGCGUGAGUGACGGUAAUGGGUAAAGAAGCACCGGCUAACUACGUG